AGCCUCAACUCAUGUGUGACUACCCCCAAAU
RNAcentral lists this ribosomal RNA (31 nucleotides) under Simulium erythrocephalum. Its description in RNAcentral is "partial 28S ribosomal RNA". The record is from RNAcentral. Lineage: Eukaryota; Metazoa; Arthropoda; Insecta; Diptera; Simuliidae.